CAGGACGAACGCUGGCGGCGUGCUUAACACAUGCAAGUCGAGCGGUAAGGCCCUUUCGGGGGUACACGAGCGGCGAACGGGUGAGUAACACGUGAGCAAUCUGCCCUUCACUUCGGGAUAAGCCUCGGAAACGGGGUCUAAUACCGGAUAUGACCGCGCUACGCAUGUGGUGUGGUGGAAAGUUCUGGCGGUGGAGGAUGAGCUCGCGGCCUAUCAGCUUGUUGGUGGGGUAAUGGCCUACCAAGGCUUCGACGGGUAGCCGGCCUGAGAGGGUGACCGGCCAC
RNAcentral lists this ribosomal RNA (284 nucleotides) under uncultured soil bacterium. RNAcentral's name for it is "partial 16S ribosomal RNA". It matches the Rfam family "Bacterial small subunit ribosomal RNA", at positions 25 to 311 of the family's 1533-position model. The record is from RNAcentral.